GACGAACGCUGGCGGCGUGCUUAACACAUGCAAGUCGAACGGAAAGGCCCUGCUUUUGUGGGGUGCUCGAGUGGCGAACGGGUGAGUAACACGUGAGUAACCUGCCCUUGACUUUGGGAUAACUUCAGGAAACUGGGGCUAAUACCGGAUAGGAGCUCCUACUGCAUGGUGGAGGUUGGAAAGUUUCGGCGGUUGGGGAUGGACUCGCGGCUUAUCAGCUUGUUGGUGGGGUAGUGGCUUACCAAGGCUUUGACGGGUAGCCGGCCUGAGAGGGUGACCGGCCACAUUGGGACUGAGAUGCGGCCCAGACUCCUACGGGAGGCAGCAGUGGGGAAUAUUGCACAAUGGGCGGAAGCCUGAUGCAGCAACGCCGCGUGCGGGAUGACGGCCUUCGGGUUGUAAACCGCUUUCGCCUGUGACGAAGCGUGAGUGACGGUAAUGGGUAAAGAAGCACCGGCUAACUACGUGCCAGCAGCCGCGGUGAUACGUAGGGUGCGAGCGUUGUCCGGAUUUAUUGGGCGUAAAGGGCUCGUAGGUGGUUGAUCGCGUCGGAAGUGUAAUCUUGGGGCUUAACCCUGAGCGUGCUUUCGAUACGGGUUGACUUGAGGAAGGUAGGGGAGAAUGGAAUUCCUGGUGGAGCGGUGGAAUGCGCAGAUAUCAGGAGGAACACCAGUGGCGAAGGCGGUUCUCUGGGCCUUUCCUGACGCUGAGGAGCGAAAGCGUGGGGAGCGAACAGGCUUAGAUACCCUGGUAGUCCACGCUGUAAACGGUGGGUACUAGGUGUGGGGUCCAUUCCACGGGUUCCGUGCCGUAGCUAACGCUUUAAGUACCCCGCCUGGGGAGUACGGCCGCAAGGCUAAAACUCAAAGGAAUUGACGGGGCCCCGCACAAGCGGCGGAGCAUGCGGAUUAAUUCGAUGCAACGCGUAGAACCUUACCUGGGUUUGACAUGGAUCGGGAGUGCUCAGAGAUGGGUGUGCCUCUUUUGGGGUCGGUUCACAGGUGGUGCAUGCCUGUCGUCAGCUCGUGUCGUGAGAUGUUGGGUUAAGUCCCGCAACGAGCGCAACCCUUGUUCACUGUUGCCAGCACGUUAUGGUGGGGACUCAGUGGAGACCGCCGGGGUCAACUCGGAGGAAGGUGGGGAUGACGUCAAGUCAUCAUGCCCCUUAUGUCCAGGGCUUCACGCAUGCUACAAUGGCUGGUACAGAGAGUGGCGAGCCUGUGAGGGUGAGCGAAUCUCGGAAAGCCGGUCUCAGUUCGGAUUGGGGUCUGCAACUCGACCUCAUGAAGUCGGAGUCGCUAGUAAUCGCAAAUCAGCAACGCUGCGGUGAAUACGUUCCCGGG
This 1343-nucleotide ribosomal RNA is filed under the name uncultured bacterium. RNAcentral describes it as "16S ribosomal RNA". It matches the Rfam family "Bacterial small subunit ribosomal RNA", at positions 28 to 1378 of the family's 1533-position model. The record is from RNAcentral.